CCUACGGGGAGCAGCAGUGAGGAAUAUUGGUCAAUGGACGAGAGUCUGAACCAGCCAAGUAGCGUGAAGGAUGACUGCCCUAUGGGUUGUAAACUUCUUUUAUAAAGGAAUAAAACGAGGCACGUGUGCCUUUUUGCAUGUACUUUAUGCAUAAGGAUCGGCUAACUCCGUGCCAGCAGCCGCGGUAAUACGGAGGAUCCGAGCGUUAUCCGGAUUUAUUGGGUUUAAAGGGAGCGUAGAUGGGUUGUUAAGUCAGUUGUGAAAGUUUGCGGCUCAACCGUAAAAUUGCAAUUGAUACUGGCAGUCGUGAGGACAGUUGAGGUAGGCGGAAUUCGUGGUGUAGCGGUGAAAUGCUUAGAUAUCACGAAGAACCCCGAUUGCGAAGGCAGCUUACUAAACUGUGACUGACAUUGAUGCUCGAAAGUGUGGGUAUCAAACAGGAUUAGAUACCCUUGUAGUC
This 460-nucleotide ribosomal RNA is filed under the name uncultured bacterium. Its description in RNAcentral is "partial 16S ribosomal RNA". It matches the Rfam family "Bacterial small subunit ribosomal RNA", at positions 338 to 795 of the family's 1533-position model. The record is from RNAcentral.